RNAcentral lists this ribosomal RNA (1506 nucleotides) under Triticum aestivum (bread wheat). Its description in RNAcentral is "partial small subunit ribosomal RNA". The record is from RNAcentral. Lineage: Eukaryota; Viridiplantae; Streptophyta; Magnoliopsida; Poales; Poaceae.
AUGGAGGUGGGCGGUGGAGCGCCGGAGGAGCCGCGGCCUCGGAGUCGGAGCAGGAGGCAGCCCCACCGCCUCCGUGGCGCAUACAAGCGGCUGCUUCUGCUUCUAUCUAGGGUUUCAGUCGGCCUCCGAAUCCAGUCGCACAAAAAAAAGCUCAACAUCGACCAAGGUGAGGACAGAAUCAGCGCGCUCCCGGACCAUCUCCUCCUCGGAAUCCUCGAGCGCCUCGACCUGCGCGACGCGGUACGCGCCGGCGCAGCCUCGAGGAGGUGGAGGCACCUCCCCCACCGGCUCUCGCGCCUGCACCUCGACGUCCGCCACUUCCACGGCGCCUUUCCGGCCGCGAUCAUGGAGGAGUUCACGGCCGCGACGUGCAGGUUACUGUCUCCGCCGGCCGAGCGCGAGUGCGCUCUCAAGACCCUCGUCCUCGACUUUUUCCCUGUGUCGGACGACCUGAGCACCCUCGGACGCGCCGUCGAGGACCUUGUCACCCACGGCGAGACUGAAUGUCUUGAAUUUCACAUAUGCUCGCCGUACGAGAUCACCACUGGCCCGCAGCGUGCCGAGCUGCGGCAGCGGUUCAUGUCCUUCUCCCGUGCCUGCCCCGUCGCCUUCGGGUGGCUCACCAAGUUAACUCUCAGUGACCUCGCGUUUCGACAUUCUCAAGUCACCGACCUCAUCGCCUCUUGCGAUAGGCUCAAGCACCUUGCCCUGAGUUUCUGCUCGCUGGACCACUCGCCGCUCAAGAUUGACGCCCCGCACUCUGGGAUCCAGGAGCUCGAGUUCAUCAAUUUUGCAUGCACACGGAUCGAGCUCGUCUCUGUCCCUAAGCUUAGGAAAGUGUGCUGCCUAUCUUGGCUCUGCAAGAACCCCCCGGUGCGCUUCGGCUAUGUUCCAGAGCUUAAUGAUAUAAGUCUCCGUCCUCUUGACAAGGCAUGGCAUGCGCCAUUUGCUUUGAGCGAGUGCCUGCCAAGGAGCGCCAGGAAUCUGUCUAAUUUGUGUCUUGUUUUUUUUUUUUUGAAACGAGGCAAAGACUUGCCAUUUUCAUUGAUUAAGGAUCUAAAUAUUGCACGUUUCUCUUCUUCUCUAACUAUUUCACCUCUCUACUUGUGUUUCUUGCUGUAGAUUUGGAUUCAGCCGGAGCAUUCGAAGCACCUCACUGCCACGCUCCGCAACUUGACUUCUGUGGUGCUUCUCGGUAUCUUUCCUGAGUGUGAUCUGAGCUGGACCCUGUUUAUCCUUGAAGCUGCACCUGCCCUGCAGAAUAUCGGUGUAUUUCGACAUCCAUGUUUCAACAUACCCAAGGACAGUGCUGAGGAGGCCACCGUGGUGUGGGAAUCAUCCAAGGAUUUGAAGCACCUGAACUUGAAGUGGCUCCAGAUAAUUGGGUUCGAGGAGGAAGACAAGGUGAUAAACUACAUAAGGCUAGUCAUGGAGCGAGCUGUGGGAUUGAAGAAAAUCAUACUGCGUGGUGAACUCCCAUGUAAGAAAUGUGAUGCACUUACCUAA